CUAUAGCCGCGAUGGAAACGGCAUCCUUUUUUGGCGCGAGCGCAGCGAGCGGCAAAAAAGAUAUAGUGGACAGCGGGACGGGUC
This 84-nucleotide small RNA is filed under the name Halpernia frigidisoli. RNAcentral's name for it is "Flavo-1 RNA". It matches the Rfam family "Flavo-1 RNA". The record is from Rfam by way of RNAcentral. Lineage: Bacteria; Pseudomonadati; Bacteroidota; Flavobacteriia; Flavobacteriales; Weeksellaceae.